This 253-nucleotide ribosomal RNA is filed under the name uncultured bacterium. Its description in RNAcentral is "partial 16S ribosomal RNA". It matches the Rfam family "Bacterial small subunit ribosomal RNA", at positions 524 to 776 of the family's 1533-position model. The record is from RNAcentral.
UACGUAGGGUGCAAGCGUUGUCCGGAAUUAUUGGGCGUAAAGAGCUCGUAGGCGGUCUGUCGCGUCGGCUGUGAAAACCCGAGGCUCAACCUCGGGCCUGCAGUCGAUACGGGCAAACUAGAGUACUGCAGGGGAGACUGGAAUUCCUGGUGUAGCGGUGAAAUGCGCAGAUAUCAGGAGGAACACCGGUGGCGAAGGCGGGUCUCUGGGCAACAACUGACGCUGAGGAGCGAAAGCGUGGGGAGCGAACAGG